RNAcentral lists this ribosomal RNA (553 nucleotides) under uncultured bacterium. RNAcentral describes it as "partial 16S ribosomal RNA". It matches the Rfam family "Bacterial small subunit ribosomal RNA", at positions 373 to 944 of the family's 1533-position model. The record is from RNAcentral.
GGGGGGAACCCUGACGCAGCGACGCCGCGUGCGGGACGGAGGCCUUCGGGUCGUAAACCGCUUUCAGCAGGGAAGAGUCAAGACUGUACCUGCAGAAGAAGCCCCGGCUAACUACGUGCCAGCAGCCGCGGUAAUACGUAGGGGGCGAGCGUUAUCCGGAUUCAUUGGGCGUAAAGCGCGCGUAGGCGGCCCGGCAGGCCGGGGGUCGAAGCGGGGGGCUCAACCCCCCGAAGCCCCCGGAACCUCCGCGGCUUGGGUCCGGUAGGGGAGGGUGGAACACCCGGUGUAGCGGUGGAAUGCGCAGAUAUCGGGUGGAACACCGGUGGCGAAGGCGGCCCUCUGGGCCGAGACCGACGCUGAGGCGCGAAAGCUGGGGGAGCGAACAGGAUUAGAUACCCUGGUAGUCCCAGCCGUAAACGAUGGACGCUAGGUGUGGGGGGACGAUCCCCCCGUGCCGCAGCCAACGCAUUAAGCGUCCCGCCUGGGGAGUACGGCCGCAAGGCUAAAACUCAAAGGAAUUGACGGGGGCCCGCACAAGCAGCGGAGCAUGUGG